This 115-nucleotide ribosomal RNA is filed under the name Bacteroides ovatus. Lineage: Bacteria; Pseudomonadati; Bacteroidota; Bacteroidia; Bacteroidales; Bacteroidaceae. The record is from RNAcentral.
UUAAGGUGGUUAUUGCACAAGGGUUCCACCUCUUCCCAUUCCGAACAGAGAAGUUAAGCCUUGUAGCGCCAAUGGUACUGCGUAACAGUGGAAGAGUAGGUCGCCGCCAUCUUCU